AUGCCCCUCAUCACUAAGGACACUCUGUUUUUGCGGGUGGCCAGGACCAGGCCCUUUCCCUACGGCAGCUCUUUUCCAGGGCAGCUCUGGGAGCUUAAGGUCUCUGCACAGGCACUGGCACCCAGUGCUGGUCUGUGCUUGGGAAAUGGGAUGACAACCAGUCACCAGAAAACAAAGGCACAGAAUGAAGCAAAGGAACGAAAUGGGACCAUGAGAAGCUUCAUUCCUGUUUACCCAGAAGUUCUGCUCAUUAUGGCCAGGCCGAGUCUUGCUCUGUCACCCAAGCUGCAAUCUCUGCCUCCUGCAAUCUCACUGCAAUCUCUGACUCCCAGAUUCAAGCAAUUCUCCUGCCUCAGCCUUCCGAGUAGCUGGGAUUACAGAUGGACUUUCGCUCUUGUCACUCAGGCUGGAGUGCAAUAG
RNAcentral lists this long non-coding RNA (420 nucleotides) under Callithrix jacchus (white-tufted-ear marmoset). RNAcentral describes it as "lncRNA (ENSCJAG00000083739.1)". The record is from RNAcentral. Lineage: Eukaryota; Metazoa; Chordata; Mammalia; Primates; Cebidae.